This is a non-coding RNA of Xyrichtys novacula (pearly razorfish), 602 nucleotides long. Lineage: Eukaryota; Metazoa; Chordata; Actinopteri; Labriformes; Labridae. The record is from the annotation of a GenBank genome assembly.
UUUUUGCAUUCAGGCCUGUGUGCUGUGACUCCAGGCCCAUCCUUCAUCUGCCUUCGGUCCUCUGCUGAGCCCAACCUCUUGAACCGCUGGUAGCCCAGACCUUUGAAACCUGUUCCAUCCUCCCCAAGGACCAGCCUCACAUAGGUAUGCACACCUCCAGAGCUCCAAACAGGGCUGAUGCUGUCUCAUACAUUCAUGAUCCAAAUAAUCACUUAUUUGAGAUCUCCUAAUCCACUUAAUCCUCAACAAAUAGAUGAAUAUUAAGUAAAUGUGUUCAAAUUUCACUGUAAUUAAAACACUAAAACUCCAAAUCUCAAAAACAAAACAGCUGUCACAUUAUCAUGACUAACAAAAUUCAGUUUCAACAAUUUAAAGUUUGUGUGGAAACAUGAGGGAAACUCUCUGAUUUGGUUUAAUAAAGGGAAGCACAGACGUCAUGAAGCCUGAUCUAAUGGCUGCCACCGCUGUCUUUUCCUCAGGAGGUUUGGUUGAAUUCACUCCAGCAUGUCCUCUAGACAUGAAAACAUCAUCAACAUGAGUCAACUCUGCAUGAGCGGUGGACACCUGAAUUUUCCAACCACUUCAAAGUUUGUCUCCUGGAC